This is an RNA transcript of Seriola dumerili (greater amberjack), 1706 nucleotides long. It is a transcript of the gene named keratin, type I cytoskeletal 18-like, with no coding region annotated. Lineage: Eukaryota; Metazoa; Chordata; Actinopteri; Carangiformes; Carangidae. The record is from RefSeq and is a predicted model, not a curated record. The transcript is spliced from 7 exons.
CACUUCCCGCUGCCAGCGUUACUUUCUAAGCCGGCCAGCAGUGAGCUUCCACAUCCCAUUUUUCACUUCAUUCUCUGUUGAGUCUAAACUAUCUCCAAAAUGAGCUACAGAAGAUCCAUGCAGCAGAUGCCUUCUACCCACAUCUCCAUGACCCGCUCUACACCCCAGUUUGGUGCUGCCAGCAUUUAUGCUGGUGCUGGUGGACAUGGUGCUCGCAUCUCCUCUGUCUCCUCAUCUUCCCUGCGCUCUGGUGCCCCAAUGGCCUCUUCUUCAUCUUCCUUCAAGGUGAGCAGUGGAAUGGGUGGAGGUAUGGGAGCAGGUUUUGGUGGUGGUGGUGCAUCCAUGGCAGCUGGUGCCGGUGCUGGGAUCCUGGGCAAUGAGAAGGGCGCCAUGCAGAACCUCAACGAUCGCCUUGCCAACUACCUGGAUACAGUGAGGAACCUGGAAAAGGCCAACAGUGAGCUGGAGAUGAAGAUCAGGGAUGCGCUGGAGAAGGGUGGGCCCGAACUGAGAGACUACAGCAAGUAUGAACCCAUCAUUGACGACCUACGCAGAAAGAUCUUUGAUAAGAUUGCAGAGAAUGCUCGUUUUGUGCUCCAGAUCGACAAUGCCCGUCUUGCUGCUGACGACUUCAAAGUGAAGUUCGACAAUGAGAUCGCAAUCCGCCAGUCUGUGGAGGCUGACAUUGCUGGCCUGAAGAAAGUCAUCGAUGACACCAACAUGAGCAGGAUGAACAUCGAGAGUGAGAUCGAAGCUGUGAAGGAGGAGCUUGUCUUCCUGAAGAAGAACCAUGAGAAUGAGGUGAUGGAGCUGAGGAAUCAGAUCUCCCAGUCAGGCGUGCAAGUGGACGUGGACGCUCCCAAAGGUCAGGACCUGGCCCAGAUCAUGGAGGACGUGAGGUCUAACUAUGAGAAGAUGGCGGUGAAGAAUGCAGAGGACCUCAAACGAUGGCACGAAAAUCAGAUUUCAGAUGUACAGGUGCAGGUAUCCCAGAACACAGAAGCUCUCCAGGGGGCCCACAUGGAGAAGAGUGACCUAUCCAGACAGAUCCAGACCCUGGAAAUUGAACUUGCUUCACAACAGAGCUUAAAAGCCUCCUUAGAGGACACACUACGCAACACAGAGCUACGAAACAACAUGGAAACGGAGAAGUACAAUGGCCUUAUUAUUCGACUUGAGGAGGAGCUGUCCAACUUGCGUGCAAACAUCCAGCAACAGACCCAAGACUACGAGGCACUGCUCAACAUGAAGAUGAAACUGGAGGCAGAGAUUGGCACUUACAAGACUCUGCUGGAUGGUGGAGACUUCAAGUAAGAGUUAUAAAGAGGUGGAGGAGAAAAAACAGGUCGGGGCAAAGUGAUGAUGGUGGUGGAGGCUCCAGGACGCACUAGAUGAGCUGGCCGCCACAAGCUAAUUUGGAACAAAGGAUCUGGGACCAUACCAACAAUGGAAGCAAAGUAACCCGCAACUAUCAAUUUUGGGGGGGAAAAAAAUGUCCUGCUGGUCCAAUCAACUGAAGCCAUUUUUGAACCAAGACCACAUACUGUGUAAACCAUAAAUGAUUGAAGCACUUCUGAAUAAAGGCAUUCUUCCACACCACAGUGAAACUGGCAGGGCUUUUUCACAAGCAACCACUGCCUCACCUGCCAGAAAAAUAAAAACGAAUAAAAACCGCAUGUUGACCCAAAGUCAUGAGUCUUGUGCAU